GAGUUUGAUCCUGGCUCAGGAUGAACGCUGGCGGCGUGCCUAAUACAUGCAAGUCGAGCGAACAGAUAAGGAGCUUGCUCCUUUGACGUUAGCGGCGGACGGGUGAGUAACACGUGGGUAACCUACCUAUAAGACUGGAAUAACUCCGGGAAACCGGGGCUAAUGCCGGAUAAUAUUUAGAACCGCAUGGUUCUAAAGUGAAAGAUGGUUUUGCUAUCACUUAUAGAUGGACCCGCGCCGUAUUAGCUAGUUGGUGGGGUAAUGGCUUACCAAGGCAACGAUACGUAGCCGACCUGAGAGGGUGAUCGGCCACACUGGAACUGAGACACGGUCCAGACUCCUACGGGAGGCAGCAGUAGGGAAUCUUCCGCAAUGGGCGAAAGCCUGACGGAGCAACGCCGCGUGAGUGAUGAAGGUCUUCGGAUCGUAAAACUCUGUUAUUAGGGAAGAACAAAUGUGUAAGUAACUGUGCACGUCUUGACGGUACCUAAUCAGAAAGCCACGGCUAACUACGUGCCAGCAGCCGCGGUAAUA
RNAcentral lists this ribosomal RNA (534 nucleotides) under uncultured bacterium. RNAcentral describes it as "bacterial SSU rRNA". It matches the Rfam family "Bacterial small subunit ribosomal RNA", at positions 9 to 525 of the family's 1533-position model. The record is from RNAcentral.